UUGUCCGGAUUUACUGGGUGUAAAGGGUGCGUAGGCGGCUUUGCAAGUCAGAUGUGAAAUCUAUGGGCUCAACCCAUAAACUGCAUUUGAAACUGUAGAGCUUGAGUGAAGUAGAGGCAGGCGGAAUUCCCCGUGUAGCGGUGAAAUGCGUAGAGAUGGGGAGGAACACCAGUGGCGAAGGCGGCCUGCUGGGCUUUAACUGACGCUGAGGCACGAAAACGUGGGUAGCAAACAGGAUUAGAUACCCUGGUAGUCCACGCUGUAAACGAUGAUUACUAGGUGUGGGGGGUCUGACCCCUUCCGUGCCGGAGUUAACACAAUAAGUAAUCCACCUGGGGAGUACGGCCGCAAGGUUGAAACUCAAAGGAAUUGACGGGGGCCCGCCCAAGCAGUGGAGUAUGUGGUUUAA
RNAcentral lists this ribosomal RNA (409 nucleotides) under uncultured bacterium. Its description in RNAcentral is "bacterial SSU rRNA". It matches the Rfam family "Bacterial small subunit ribosomal RNA", at positions 541 to 949 of the family's 1533-position model. The record is from RNAcentral.